Molecule: ribosomal RNA, 272 nt
Filed under: uncultured bacterium
Lineage: Bacteria
Description: partial 16S ribosomal RNA
Rfam family: Bacterial small subunit ribosomal RNA
Source: RNAcentral
AACGAACGCUGGCGGCGUUGAUAAGACAUGCAAGUCGUGCGGGACAUCGUUGGUAGCAAUAUUAGCGGUGUCUAGCGGCGAACGGGUGCGUAACACGUAGCUCACCUACCUCGAAGUGGGGGAUAGCUCGCCGAAAGGCGAACUUAAUACCGCAUGUGGUUGUAAGACUAAAGCGGGGGAUCGUAAGACCUCGCGCUUCGAGAUGGGGCUGCGGCCUAUCAGCUAGNGGUGAGGUAACGGCCCACCAAGGCGAUGACGGGUAGCUGGUCUGA